GCUUACGGCCACACCGCCUGGUUCACGCCCGAUCUCGUUUGAUCUCGGAAGCUAAGAUAGGUUGGGCCUGGUUAGUACUUGGAUGGGAGACCGCCUGGGAAUACCAGGUGCUGUCCUUU
Molecule: ribosomal RNA, 119 nt
Filed under: Scophthalmus maximus (turbot)
Lineage: Eukaryota; Metazoa; Chordata; Actinopteri; Pleuronectiformes; Scophthalmidae
Source: RNAcentral